CAACCCUCAAGCCCCUCCGGGCAUGGUGUUGGGGAUCGGCCCCGCAAUCCGGCGGCCGGCCCCGAAAUGUAGUGGCGGUCUCGCCGCUGCCUCCUCUGCGUAGUAGAAACACCUCGCAUUGGGACGCGGCGCGGCCACGCCGUUAACCAGAUGAAUUAUUUCAA
Molecule: unclassified non-coding RNA, 164 nt
Filed under: uncultured Volutella
Lineage: Eukaryota; Fungi; Ascomycota; Sordariomycetes; Hypocreales; Nectriaceae
Description: sequence contains ITS2
Source: RNAcentral